GCGGGGGUUGCCGAGCCAGGUCAAAGGCGCAGGACUUAAGAUCCUGUCCCUUAGUGGGUCCGAGAGUUCAAAUCUCUUCCCCCGCACCA
This 89-nucleotide transfer RNA is filed under the name Candidatus Aenigmatarchaeota archaeon. RNAcentral's name for it is "tRNA-Leu". It matches the Rfam family "tRNA". Rfam says of the family: Transfer RNA (tRNA) molecules are approximately 80 nucleotides in length. Their secondary structure includes four short double-helical elements and three loops (D, anti-codon, and T loops). The record is from RNAcentral. Lineage: Archaea; Nanobdellati; Candidatus Aenigmatarchaeota.